This 506-nucleotide ribosomal RNA is filed under the name uncultured bacterium. RNAcentral's name for it is "bacterial SSU rRNA". It matches the Rfam family "Bacterial small subunit ribosomal RNA", at positions 29 to 507 of the family's 1533-position model. The record is from RNAcentral.
ACGAACGCUGGCGGCGUGCUUAACACAUGCAAGUCGAACGGAGAUUAUUAAUGAAGCUUGCGAUUUAAUAAUCUUAGUGGCGGACGGGUGAGUAACGCGUGGGCAACCUACCCAUAAGCGGGGGAUAACAGUUGGAAACGACUGCUAAUACCGCAUAAGCUAUUGAGGUCGCAUGACCUAAAUAGUAAAGGUGGCGAAAGCUAUCACUUAUGGAUGGGCCCGCGUCUGAUUAGCUAGUUGGUGGGAUAGCAGCCUACCAAGGCAACGAUCAGUAGCCGGCCUGAGAGGGUGGACGGCCACACUGGGACUGAGACACGGCCCAGACUCCUACGGGAGGCAGCAGGUGGGGAAUAUUGCGCAAGUGGGGGAAACCCUGACGCAGCGACGCCGCGUGAGCGAAGAAGGCCUUAGGGUCGUAAAGCUCUGUUGUAAGGGACGAAUGUUUAUCUGGCGAACAGUCAGAUAAAGUGACGGUACCUUACCAGCAAGCCCCGGCUAACUACGUG